This 72-nucleotide transfer RNA is filed under the name Erythranthe guttata (spotted monkey flower). Its description in RNAcentral is "Mimulus guttatus (spotted monkey flower) tRNA". It matches the Rfam family "tRNA". From Rfam's summary of the family: Transfer RNA (tRNA) molecules are approximately 80 nucleotides in length. Their secondary structure includes four short double-helical elements and three loops (D, anti-codon, and T loops). Further hydrogen bonds mediate the characteristic L-shaped molecular structure. tRNAs have two regions of fundamental functional importance: the anti-codon, which is responsible for specific mRNA codon recognition, and the 3' end, to which the tRNAs corresponding amino acid is attached (by aminoacyl-tRNA synthetases). tRNAs cope with the degeneracy of the genetic code in two manners: having more than one tRNA (with a specific anti-codon) for a particular amino acid; and 'wobble' base-pairing, i.e. permitting non-standard base-pairing at the 3rd anti-codon position. RNAcentral also lists the same sequence under 1 other name. Lineage: Eukaryota; Viridiplantae; Streptophyta; Magnoliopsida; Lamiales; Phrymaceae. The record is from Rfam by way of RNAcentral.
GGGCAUUUGGUCUAGUGGUAUGAUUCUCGCUUCGGGAGCGAGAGGUCCCGAGUUCAAUUCUCGGAAUGCCCC